UGGGGAAUUUUGGACAAUGGGCGAAAGCCUGAUCCAGCAAUGCCGCGUGUGUGAAGAAGGCCUUCGGGUUGUAAAGCACUUUUGUCCGGAAAGAAAUCCUUGGCUCUAAUACAGUCGGGGGAUGACGGUACCGGAAGAAUAAGCACCGGCUAACUACGUGCCAGCAGCCGCGGUAAUACGUAGGGUGCAAGCGUUAAUCGGAAUUACUGGGCGUAAAGCGUGCGCAGGCGGUUUGCUAAGACCGAUGUGAAAUCCCCGGGCUCAACCUGGGAACUGCAUUGGUGACUGGCAGGCUAGAGUAUGGCAGAGGGGGGUAGAAUUCCACGUGUAGCAGUGAAAUGCGUAGAGAUGUGGAGGAAUACCGAUGGCGAAGGCAGCCCCCUGGGCCAAAUACUGACGCUCAUGCACGAAAGCGUGGGGGAGCAAAACAGGAUUAGAUACCCUGGUAGUCCACGCCCUAAAACGAUGUCAACUAGUUGUUGGGGAUUCAUUUCCUUAGUAACGUAGCUAACGCGUGAAGUUGACCGCCUGGGGAGUACGGUCGCAAGAUUAAAACUCAAAGGAAUUGACGGGGUCAUAGCUG
This 583-nucleotide ribosomal RNA is filed under the name uncultured bacterium. RNAcentral's name for it is "partial 16S ribosomal RNA". It matches the Rfam family "Bacterial small subunit ribosomal RNA", at positions 355 to 932 of the family's 1533-position model. The record is from RNAcentral.